CCUACGGGAGGCAGCAGUGAGGAAUCUUGGUCAAUGGACGAGAGUCUGAACCAGCCAAGUAGCGUGAAGGAUGACUGCCCUCUGGGUUGUAAACUUCUUUUAUAUGGGAAUAAAAUGUUCCACGUGUGGGAUUUUGUAUGUACCAUAUGAAUAAGGAUCGGCUAACUCAGUGCCAGCAGCCGCGGUAAUACGGAGGAUCCGAGCGUUAUCCGGAUUUAUUGGGUUUAAAGGGAGCGUAGGUGGAUUGUUAAGUCAGGUGUGAAAGUGUGCGGCUCAACCGUAAAAUUGCAGUUGAAACUGGCAGUCUUGAGUACAGUAGAGGUGGGCGGAAGUCGGGGUGUAGCGGUGAAAUGCUUAGAUAUAACGAAGAACUCCGGUUGCGAAGGCAGCUCACUGGACUGCAACUGACACUGAGGCUCGAAAGUGUGGGUAGCAAACAGGAUUAGAUACCCGUGUAGUC
This 460-nucleotide ribosomal RNA is filed under the name uncultured bacterium. Its description in RNAcentral is "partial 16S ribosomal RNA". It matches the Rfam family "Bacterial small subunit ribosomal RNA", at positions 338 to 795 of the family's 1533-position model. The record is from RNAcentral.